Molecule: ribosomal RNA, 291 nt
Filed under: uncultured bacterium
Lineage: Bacteria
Description: partial 16S ribosomal RNA
Rfam family: Bacterial small subunit ribosomal RNA
Source: RNAcentral
GAUAAACGCUAGCGGUGUGUCUAAUACAUGCAAGUCGAGCGGCAGCACUUCGGGUGGCGAGCGGCGAACGGCUGAGUAACACGUUGGAAUCUACCCCAUACUCAGGGAUAACUCAUCGAAAGGUGAGCUAAUACCGGAUAGUCCCCUGACUUGUUCAGGGGUAAAGAUUUAUCGGUAUGGGAGGAGCCUGCGGCCUAUCAGCUUGUUGGUAAGGUAAAAGCUUACCAAGGCGAUGACGGGUAGCUGGUGUGAGAGCAUGACCAGCCAGAAUGGGACUGAGACACGGCCCAU